UAUCAGCAACAGACAUUAACAGAUAAAGAGGCAUCUGUCCUGCCUCCCACUUUCUUAUUUUCAUUUGCUGCCUUCUUGAAGCAUUUGCUUUUCCAGGAAACACUUCUCUGUUCAGUCUCUGUACUCCACCAACUUCACCUGUGCACUUGCCUUCAUCUUCCCACUACAGCACUGGAACAGGACUUCUGCUUCUGGUCAUCAUGUAGUGACAGAGACUGGACUUAUCUUCCUGCCUUUAACAUCCAGCAGACUGGGCAAAAUACAUGAAAUCGGUGAAAUAGAAAUUAAAAAACACUAUAAAAAUCAAUGAGACAAAAC
RNAcentral lists this long non-coding RNA (318 nucleotides) under Fukomys damarensis (Damara mole-rat). RNAcentral describes it as "lncRNA (ENSFDAG00000022127.1)". The record is from RNAcentral. Lineage: Eukaryota; Metazoa; Chordata; Mammalia; Rodentia; Bathyergidae.